This 441-nucleotide ribosomal RNA is filed under the name uncultured bacterium. RNAcentral's name for it is "partial 16S ribosomal RNA". It matches the Rfam family "Bacterial small subunit ribosomal RNA", at positions 338 to 795 of the family's 1533-position model. The record is from RNAcentral.
CCUACGGGAGACAGCAGUGGGGAAUAUUGGACAAUGGGGGGAACCCUGAUCCAGCGACGCCGCGUGAGUGAAGAAGUAUUUCGGUAUGUAAAGCCCUAUCAGCAGGGGAGAAAGAAGACGGUACCUGACUAAUAAGCCCCGGCUAACUACGUUCCAGCAGCCGCGGUAAUACGGAGGGGGCGAGCGUUAUCCGGAUUCACUGGGUGUAACGGGAGCGUAGACGGCCGUGCAAGCCAGGAGUGAAAGCCCGGGGCCCAACCCCGGGACUGCUCUUGGAACUGUGCGGCUGGAGUGCGGGAGGGGCAGGCGGAAUUCCUGGUGUAGCGGUGAAAUGCGUAGAUAUCAGGAGGAACACCGGCGGCGAAGGCGGCCUGCUGGACCGCGACUGACGUUGAGGCUCGAAAGCGUGGGGAGCGAACAGGAUUAGAUACCCUGGUAGUC